GACGUAGGGUGCGAGCGUUGUCCGGAUUUAUUGGGCGUAAAGAGCUCGUAGGCGGCUCGUCGCGUCAGCUGUGAAAACCCGCAGCUUAACUGUGGGCUUGCAGCUGAUACGGGCGGGCUAGAGUUCGGUAGGGGAGACUGGAAUUCCUGGUGUAGCGGUGAAAUGCGUAGAUAUCUGGAGGAACAUCGGUGGCGAAGGCGGCAUCCUGGACCGGUAUUGACGCUGAGGCGCGAAAGCCAGGGGAGCAAACGGG
RNAcentral lists this ribosomal RNA (253 nucleotides) under uncultured bacterium. RNAcentral's name for it is "partial 16S ribosomal RNA". It matches the Rfam family "Bacterial small subunit ribosomal RNA", at positions 524 to 776 of the family's 1533-position model. The record is from RNAcentral.